Non-coding RNA from Potamilus streckersoni, 73 nucleotides. NCBI's taxonomy places the organism in Eukaryota, Metazoa, Mollusca, Bivalvia, Unionida, Unionidae. The record is from the annotation of a GenBank genome assembly.
UCCAGUGGCCUAAGUGGUUAAAGCGUCCGCCUAGGAUACGGGUAGUCGCUGGUUCGAACCCCGGCCUAGUCAU